GCCUACGGGGCGCAGCAGUGGGGAAUAUUGCACAAUGGGGGAAACCCUGAUGCAGCGACGCCGCGUGAGUGAAGAAGUAUCUCGGUACGUAAAGCUCUAUCAGCAGGGAAGAAAAAAAGUCUUUGGCUUUGGACGGUACCUGACUAAGAAGCCCCGGCUAACUACGUGCCAGCAGCCGCGGUAAUACGUAGGGGGCAAGCGUUAUCCGGAUUUACUGGGUGUAAAGGGAGCGUAGACAGCAGCGCAAGUCUGGAGUGAAAUGCCGGGGCUCAACCCCGGACCUGCUUUGGAAACUGUGCAGCUAG
This 305-nucleotide ribosomal RNA is filed under the name uncultured bacterium. RNAcentral's name for it is "bacterial SSU rRNA". It matches the Rfam family "Bacterial small subunit ribosomal RNA", at positions 337 to 644 of the family's 1533-position model. The record is from RNAcentral.